This 211-nucleotide ribosomal RNA is filed under the name uncultured Funneliformis. RNAcentral describes it as "partial 18S ribosomal RNA". It matches the Rfam family "Eukaryotic small subunit ribosomal RNA", at positions 669 to 864 of the family's 1831-position model. Lineage: Eukaryota; Fungi; Glomeromycota; Glomeromycetes; Glomerales; Glomeraceae. The record is from RNAcentral.
AUAUUUCGGUCAUGCCGUUGGUAUGCACUGUUAUCAUUGAUUUCUCACCUUCUAAAGAACCGUAAUGCCAUUAAUUUGGUGUUACGGGGAAUUAGGACUGUUACCUUGAAAAAAUUAGAGUGUUUAAAGCAGGCUCACGCUUGAAUACAUUAGCAUGGAAUAAUGAAAUAGGACAUCCGAUUCUAUUUUGUUGGUUUCUAGGAUCGAUGUA